GGUUAAGCGACUAAGCGUACACGGUGGAUGCCCUGGCAGUCAGAGGCGAUGAAGGACGUGCUAAUCUGCGAAAAGCGUCGGUAAGGUGAUAUGAACCGUUACAGCCGGCGAUGUCCGAAUGGGGAAACCCAGUGCAAUUCGUUGCACUAUCGUUAACUGAAUACAUAGGUUAACGAGGCGAACCGGGGGAACUGAAACAUCUAAGUACCCCGAGGAAAAGAAAUCAACCGAGAUUCCCCCAGUAGCGGCGAGCGAACGGGGAGCAGCCCAGAGUCUGAAUCAGCUUGUGUGUUAGUGGAACGGUCUGGAAAGUCCGACGGUACAGGGUGAUAGUCCCGUACACCAAAAUGCACAGGCUGUGAACUCGAAGAGUAGGGCGGGACACGUGGUAUCCUGUCUGAAUAUGGGGGGACCAUCCUCCAAGGCUAAAUACUCCUGACUGACCGAUAGUGAACCAGUACCGUGAGGGAAAGGCGAAAAGAACCCCGGCGAGGGGAGUGAAAAAGAACCUGAAACCGUGUACGUACAAGCAGUGGGAGCACCUUCGGGUGUGACUGCGUACCUUUUGUAUAAUGGGUCAGCGACUUAUAUUCUGUAGCAAGGUUAACCGUAUAGGGGAGCCGCAGGGAAACCGAGUCUUAACUGGGCGUUAAGUUGCAGGGUAUAGACCCGAAACCCGGUGAUCUAGCCAUGGGCAGGUUGAAGGUUGGGUAACACUAACUGGAGGACCGAACCGACUAAUGUUGAAAAAUUAGCGGAUGACUUGUGGCUGGGGGUGAAAGGCCAAUCAAACCGGGAGAUAGCUGGUUCUCCCCGAAAGCUAUUUAGGUAGCGCCUCGUGAACUCAUCUUCGGGGGUAGAGCACUGUUUCGGCUAGGGGGUCAUCCCGACUUACCAACCCGAUGCAAACUACGAAUACCGAAGAAUGUUAUCACGGGAGACACACGGCGGGUGCUAACGUCCGUCGUGAAGAGGGAAACAACCCAGACCGCCAGCUAAGGUCCCAAAGUCACAGUUAAGUGGGAAACGAUGUGGGAAGGCACAGACAGCCAGGAUGUUGGCUUAGAAGCAGCCAUCAUUUAAAGAAAGCGUAAUAGCUCACUGGUCGAGUCGGCCUGCGCGGAAGAUGUAACGGGGCUAAACUGUGCACCGAAGCUGCGGCAGCGACACUAUGUGUUGUUGGGUAGGGGAGCGUUCUGUAAGCCUGCGAAGGUGGCCUGUGAGGGUUGCUGGAGGUAUCAGAAGUGCGAAUGCUGACAUAAGUAACGAUAAUGCGGGUGAAAAGCCCGCACGCCGGAAGACCAAGGGUUCCUGUCCAACGUUAAUCGGGGCAGGGUGAGUCGACCCCUAAGGCGAGGCCGAAAGGCGUAGUCGAUGGGAAACAGGUUAAUAUUCCUGUACUUGGUGUUACUGCGAAGGGGGGACGGAGAAGGCUAUGUUAGCCGGGCGACGGUUGUCCCGGUUUAAGCAUGUAGGCGGAGGUUCCAGGUAAAUCCGGUACCUUUUUAACGCUGAGGUGUGAUGACGAGGCACUACGGUGCUGAAGUAACAAAUGCCCUGCUUCCAGGAAAAGCCUCUAAGCAUCAGGUAACAUUGAAUCGUACCCCAAACCGACACAGGUGGUCAGGUAGAGAAUACCAAGGCGCUUGAGAGAACUCGGGUGAAGGAACUAGGCAAAAUGGUGCCGUAACUUCGGGAGAAGGCACGCUGAUAUGUAGGUGAAGCCCCUGCGGGUGGAGCUGAAAUCAGUCGAAGAUACCAGCUGGCUGCAACUGUUUAUUAAAAACACAGCACUGUGCAAACACGAAAGUGGACGUAUACGGUGUGACGCCUGCCCGGUGCCGGAAGGUUAAUUGAUGGGGUUAUCCGUAAGGAGAAGCUCUUGAUCGAAGCCCCGGUAAACGGCGGCCGUAACUAUAACGGUCCUAAGGUAGCGAAAUUCCUUGUCGGGUAAGUUCCGACCUGCACGAAUGGCGUAAUGAUGGCCAGGCUGUCUCCACCCGAGACUCAGUGAAAUUGAACUCGCUGUGAAGAUGCAGUGUACCCGCGGCAAGACGGAAAGACCCCGUGAACCUUUACUAUAGCUUGACACUGAACAUUGAGCCUUGAUGUGUAGGAUAGGUGGGAGGCUUUGAAGCGUGGACGCCAGUCUGCGUGGAGCCAACCUUGAAAUACCACCCUUUAAUGUUUGAUGUUCUAACGUUGGCCCCUGACCGGGGUUGCGGACAGUGUCUGGUGGGUAGUUUGACUGGGGCGGUCUCCUCCCAAAGAGUAACGGAGGAGCACGAAGGUUAGCUAAUCCUGGUCGGACAUCAGGAGGUUAGUGCAAUGGCAUAAGCUAGCUUGACUGCGAGCGUGACGGCGCGAGCAGGUGCGAAAGCAGGUCAUAGUGAUCCGGUGGUUCUGAAUGGAAGGGCCAUCGCUCAACGGAUAAAAGGUACUCCGGGGAUAACAGGCUGAUACCGCCCAAGAGUUCAUAUCGACGGCGGUGUUUGGCACCUCGAUGUCGGCUCAUCACAUCCUGGGGCUGAAGUAGGUCCCAAGGGUAUGGCUGUUCGCCAUUUAAAGUGGUACGCGAGCUGGGUUUAGAACGUCGUGAGACAGUUCGGUCCCUAUCUGCCGUGGGCGCUGGAGAAUUGAGGGGGGCUGCUCCUAGUACGAGAGGACCGGAGUGGACGCAUCACUGGUGUUCGGGUUGUCAUGCCAAUGGCAUUGCCCGGUAGCUAAAUGCGGAAGAGAUAAGUGCUGAAAGCAUCUAAGCACGAAACUUGCCCCGAGAUGAGUUCUCCCUGACUCCUUGAGAGUCCUGAAGGAACGUUAAAGACGAUGACGUUGAUAGGUCGGGUGUGUAAGCGUAGCGAUACGUUGAGCUAACCGAUACUAAUGAACCGUGAGGCUUAACCUU
Molecule: ribosomal RNA, 2905 nt
Filed under: Klebsiella aerogenes
Lineage: Bacteria; Pseudomonadati; Pseudomonadota; Gammaproteobacteria; Enterobacterales; Enterobacteriaceae
Description: 23S ribosomal RNA
Rfam family: Bacterial large subunit ribosomal RNA
Source: RNAcentral